GAUGAACGCUGGCGGCGUGCCUAAUACAUGCAAGUCGAGCGAACGGACGAGAAGCUUGCUUCUCUGAUGUUAGCGGCGGACGGGUGAGUACUCGUGGAUAACCCACCUACAAGACUGGGAUAAAUUCGGGAAACCGGAGCUAAUUCCGGAUAAUAUUUUUAACCGUAUGGUUUAAAAGUUAAAGACGGUUUUUCCUUUCCUUAUAGAAGGAACCCGGCCUGAAUUAGCUAGUUGGUAGGGUAACGGCUUCCCAAGGCAACGAGGCUUAGCCGACCGGAGAGGGUGAUCGGCCACACUAGAACUGAGACACGGUCCAGACUCCUACGGGAGGCAGCAGUAGGGAAUCUUCCGCAAUGGGCGAAAGCCUGACGGAGCAACGCCGCGUGAGUGAUGAAGGUCUUCGGAUCGUAAAACUCUGUUAUUAGGGAAGAACAUAUGUGUAAGUAACUGUGCACAUCUUGACGGUACCUAAUCAGAAAGCCACGGCUAACUACGUG
RNAcentral lists this ribosomal RNA (497 nucleotides) under uncultured bacterium. Its description in RNAcentral is "partial 16S ribosomal RNA". It matches the Rfam family "Bacterial small subunit ribosomal RNA", at positions 28 to 507 of the family's 1533-position model. The record is from RNAcentral.